ACCGCGAUAGACCAGCUGGUAGAGCAUCUGCUCGGUUUGCGGAGGGUCGCCGGUUCCGUUCCGGCUCGUGGUG
RNAcentral lists this transfer RNA (73 nucleotides) under Fasciola hepatica (liver fluke). Its description in RNAcentral is "tRNA-Thr". Lineage: Eukaryota; Metazoa; Platyhelminthes; Trematoda; Plagiorchiida; Fasciolidae. The record is from RNAcentral.